GACGAACGCUGGCGGCGUGCCUAAUACAUGCAAGUCGAGCGGACUUUCAAGAAGCUUGCUUUUUGAAAGUUAGCGGCGGACGGGUGAGUAACACGUGGGCAACCUGCCUGCAAGACGGGGAUAACUCCGGGAAACCGGGGCUAAUACCGGAUAAUAUCUUCCUUCGCAUGAAGGAAGGUUGAAAGGCGGCGCAAGCUGCCGCUUGCAGAUGGGCCCGCGGCGCAUAGCUAGUUGGUGAGGUAACGGCUCACCAAGGCGACGAUGCGUAGCCGACCUGAGAGGGUGAUCGGCCACACUGGGACUGAGACACGGCCCAGACUCCUACGGGAGGCAGCAGUAGGGAAUCUUCCGCAAUGGACGAAAGUCUGACGGAGCAACGCCGCGUGAGCGAAGAAGGUCUUCGGAUCGUAAAGCUCUGUUGUCAGGGAAGAACAAGUACCGUUCGAACAGGGCGGUACCUUGACGGUACCUGACCAGAAAGCCACGGCUAACUACGUG
This 498-nucleotide ribosomal RNA is filed under the name uncultured bacterium. RNAcentral's name for it is "partial 16S ribosomal RNA". It matches the Rfam family "Bacterial small subunit ribosomal RNA", at positions 28 to 507 of the family's 1533-position model. The record is from RNAcentral.